Nosema bombycis CQ1 is the source of this 82-nucleotide transfer RNA. It matches the Rfam family "tRNA". Rfam says of the family: Transfer RNA (tRNA) molecules are approximately 80 nucleotides in length. Their secondary structure includes four short double-helical elements and three loops (D, anti-codon, and T loops). Further hydrogen bonds mediate the characteristic L-shaped molecular structure. tRNAs have two regions of fundamental functional importance: the anti-codon, which is responsible for specific mRNA codon recognition, and the 3' end, to which the tRNAs corresponding amino acid is attached (by aminoacyl-tRNA synthetases). tRNAs cope with the degeneracy of the genetic code in two manners: having more than one tRNA (with a specific anti-codon) for a particular amino acid; and 'wobble' base-pairing, i.e. permitting non-standard base-pairing at the 3rd anti-codon position. NCBI's taxonomy places the organism in Eukaryota, Fungi, Microsporidia, Nosematidae. The record is from Rfam.
GGCGCUGUAGCAAAGUGGUUAAUGCGGUAGACUGCUAAUCUAUUUCCCUAGUGGUUCGCGAGUUCGAAUCUCGCCGGCGUCG